This is a non-coding RNA of Salvelinus sp. IW2-2015, 480 nucleotides long. The record is from RefSeq and is a predicted model, not a curated record. Lineage: Eukaryota; Metazoa; Chordata; Actinopteri; Salmoniformes; Salmonidae.
AUACGCUGUGUGCAGUGCUGGAGAGAGACACCCUGGGGAUUCGCGAAAACGUCUAUUUGGUGCGGUGGUGCGCUGGGCGGAUGCCGAUGUUACAGCAACAGCUUCCCCUCACCUCUGAGAACAAAAAGAAGGUUCUGGGCAAGGCCCUAACCCUGAUCCGCUUCCCACUCCUGACGAUGUGGAGGAGUUUGCUGCGGGGCCUGCCAGUCUGGAAUAUUGUUCGAUCGGGAGGUGGUAAAUCUGUUUUUACACUUUACAGUAAACCCAAGCCCGCGGUAGACUACAUUGACAGGCCCCGCUGCUGCUCGAGGAAAGGAGGGCAGCAUUAGUAGGUUCCAGCAGGUUGAAAGUCGCUGGGAUACAGUGGCACCAGUGACAGGAUCAGAUUUAAUGUAUAGAAGAAUAUAGUGGUGGGGUUCGGACUGUAUGGCUCGAUCACGGACCUACGGACUAUCAGGUUAUAUAUCAGGUAAGCAUUUA